ACCAGCUAUCUGGAAGGGUGUAAACUAAAUAAGGAUAAAGCCCUAAAAAAGAGAGGAUAAUGACGUUAUCUUUUUGACAAGUCUCGACCAAAUCACGUGCCAGCAGUCGCGGUAAAACGUGGGAGGCAAGCGUUAUUGAUCUUAAAUGGGUCUAAAGGGUCCGUAAAACGGUAAAUUAAGCGAAUACCUCUCCUAUUCGGGGGAGGUAGUCUAAUCGAACUGAUUUACUAGAGUCUUAUAGAAGAACAGAGGAAUUGCAAGAGUAAGGAUGAAAUCUAUUGAUACUUGUAGGACCGCCAAAGGCGAAGGCAUCGUUCUAGGUAAAGACUGACGUUGAGGGACGUAGGCGUUGGGAGCGAAAAGGAUUAGAUACCCCUGUAGUCAACGCUGUAAACGAUGAGUGCUUAAGAUUAGUAAUAAUUAUUAAUAAGUAAUUAGGCUUUAAAGCUUUUAACUAUUAUAAAAAAAAAUUAGUCUCGAAAUGAAGAUGUUAAGCACUUCACCUGGGGAGUACUGUCGCAAGGCUGAAACCCAAAACAUUAGACGGUCACGGAAACCAGCAGUGAAGCAUGUUAUUUAAUACGAUGAUCCGCGUACAACCUUACCACUUCUUGAAUGUCCUUUUCUGUAAAAAGAAAAGGCCUAUUUAAUUAAAAAACUUUAAAACAUUAAUUAAAUUUGGAUAAAUACAACAGGCGUUGCAUGGCUGUCUUCAGUUCGUGUCGUGAGAUGUCAGGUUCAUUCCGGUCAACGAAUGAAACCCUUCUUUCUUAAUUUUGCUUUUUUUUUAUUUAUUUAAAUUAAAUUUAUUAAGAUGACCCUUGGAAAACGAGGAUAUAAUGGGGAUUAAGACAAGUCGUCAUGGCCUUUAUGAAGUGGGCUAUA
RNAcentral lists this ribosomal RNA (885 nucleotides) under Taphrina deformans PYCC 5710. It matches the Rfam family "Bacterial small subunit ribosomal RNA", at positions 387 to 1218 of the family's 1533-position model. Lineage: Eukaryota; Fungi; Ascomycota; Taphrinomycetes; Taphrinales; Taphrinaceae. The record is from RNAcentral.